GGGGGUAUAGCUCAGCUGGGAGAGCGCUUGAAUGGCAUUCAAGAGGUCAGGGGUUCGAGCCCCCUUAUCUCCA
This 73-nucleotide transfer RNA is filed under the name Acholeplasma brassicae. It matches the Rfam family "tRNA". Rfam says of the family: Transfer RNA (tRNA) molecules are approximately 80 nucleotides in length. Their secondary structure includes four short double-helical elements and three loops (D, anti-codon, and T loops). The record is from Rfam by way of RNAcentral. Lineage: Bacteria; Bacillati; Mycoplasmatota; Mollicutes; Acholeplasmatales; Acholeplasmataceae.